Molecule: ribosomal RNA, 429 nt
Filed under: Bacteroidota bacterium
Lineage: Bacteria; Pseudomonadati; Bacteroidota
Description: Bacteroidetes bacterium partial 16S ribosomal RNA
Rfam family: Bacterial small subunit ribosomal RNA
Source: RNAcentral
UAGGGAAUCUUCGGCAAUGGGGGGAACCCUGACCGAGCAACGCCGCGUGAGUGAAGAAGGUUUUCGGAUCGUAAAGCUCUGUUGUUAAGGAAGAACGAGUGUGAGAAUGGAAAGUUCAUACUGUGACGGUACUUAACCAGAAAGGGACGGCUAACUACGUGCCAGCAGCCGCGGUAAUACGUAGGUCCUGAGCGUUGUCCGGAUUUAUUGGGCGUAAAGCGAGCGCAGGCGGUUAGAUAAGUCUGAAGUUAAAGGCAGUGGCUCAACCAUUGUAGGCUUUGGAAACUGUUUAACUUGAGUGCAGAAGGGGAGAGUGGAAUUCCAUGUGUAGCGGUGAAAUGCGUAGAUAUAUGGAGGAACACCGGUGGCGAAAGCGGCUCUCUGGUCUGUAACUGACGCUGAGGCUCGAAAGCGUGGGGAGCGAACAGG